CCCUUAUAUUUUAUUUUAAUUUCCAAAAUACCCUCUUUGCUAAAACCCUAAAAUUCACGAUCUGUUCUCAUUUCUUACGCAGCCUCCACGAUCUAUGUUCAUCAUCUUCUACAACAAUGAUCUCUGUUCAUCAUCUUCUACAACAACAAAGCCUCCAAACCCAGAACUUUCUUCACUCCCACACCCACUCUCUUUCUCUCUCUAAAAUUUCCCCAAAUCGCUGAGUUCUUAAAAAUUGUAAGGUUGUAAAUCUAAAAUCAAUGUUGAAAAUCGCUUGAGUUCUUCAAGUUUCUACUGAUCUAAGAAAUGUAGUAGAGCGCACAUUUGACGUUUGGAAAGCAAGAUGGUCUAUUUUGAGAGACAUGCCAUACUAUCACAUUGACACACAAAGGGACAUCGUACUUGCUACUAUGGCCAUUCACAAUUAUAUUAGAAAGAAAUGCAAUGUGGAUGAUGCAUUCCAAACAGCCGAGAAUGAGAGCUAUAUUCUUUCGGUUGAUUAUAAUGAUAUUGGCACAACUUCAAGAGCUAACAAUGUAGAUGUCGAAGAUGUUGGAGAACAAAAUGAUGUCUAUUGGAUGGGGUUUCGUGAUAUGAUUGCUAGUGACAUUUCUAAUGCUUGAUGCUUGUAUUAUAUGAAUAUUUUCCACUUGUAUUUAUAGUGGAGUGCUUUCGGUUGUAUUAGCACUUUUAUUAAGUACAUCUUAUGCCUGUUGCAGGCUUAUAGUUAUAGUGUUAGUGUUAAUUCCUAUAUAAUUACUUUGUCUUUACAAUGAAAAAUAAAGAUUUCUAUAAA
Lycium barbarum (goji berry) is the source of this 796-nucleotide long non-coding RNA. RefSeq lists it as uncharacterized. Lineage: Eukaryota; Viridiplantae; Streptophyta; Magnoliopsida; Solanales; Solanaceae. The record is from RefSeq and is a predicted model, not a curated record. The transcript has 2 exons.